Molecule: transfer RNA, 71 nt
Filed under: Loxodonta africana (African savanna elephant)
Lineage: Eukaryota; Metazoa; Chordata; Mammalia; Proboscidea; Elephantidae
Rfam family: tRNA
About the family: Transfer RNA (tRNA) molecules are approximately 80 nucleotides in length. Their secondary structure includes four short double-helical elements and three loops (D, anti-codon, and T loops).
Source: Rfam by way of RNAcentral
ACAUUGGUGGUUCAGUGGUAGAAUUCUCGCCUUUCAUGCAGGAGGCCUGGGUUUGAUUUCAGGCCAAUGCA